RNAcentral lists this ribosomal RNA (754 nucleotides) under uncultured bacterium. Its description in RNAcentral is "bacterial SSU rRNA". It matches the Rfam family "Bacterial small subunit ribosomal RNA", at positions 28 to 776 of the family's 1533-position model. The record is from RNAcentral.
GAUGAACGCUAGCGGCAGGUCUUAACACAUGCAAGUCGAGGGGUAACGAUGGUGCUUGCAUCAGGCGACGACCGGCGAACGGGUGCGUAACGCGUAUAGAAUCUGCCUUGUACAGGAGGAUAGCCUUUAGAAAUGAAGAUUAAUACUCCAUAAUGUAAGUAAAUCGCAUGAUUUACUUAUUAAAGAUUUAUUGGUACAAGAUGACUAUGCGUCCUAUUAGUUAGUUGGUAAGGUAACGGCUUACCAAGGCGUCGAUAGGUAGGGGGUCUGAGAGGAUUAUCCCCCACACUGGUACUGAGACACGGACCAGACUCCUACGGGAGGCAGCAGUGAGGAAUAUUGGACAAUGGGCGCAAGCCUGAUCCAGCCAUGCCGCGUGCAGGAAGACUGCCCUAUGGGUUGUAAACUGCUUUUAUACAGGAAGAAACACCAAUACGUGUAUUGGCUUGACGGUACUGUAAGAAUAAGCACCGGCUAACUCCGUGCCAGCAGCCGCGGUAAUACGGAGGGUGCAAGCGUUAUCCGGAAUCAUUGGGUUUAAAGGGUCCGCAGGCGGUCGAUUAAGUCAGAGGUGAAAUCCCAUAGCUUAACUAUGGAACUGCCUUUGAUACUGGUUGACUUGAGUCAUAUGGAAGUAGAUAGAAUAAGUAGUGUAGCGGUGAAAUGCAUAGAUAUUACUUAGAAUACCGAUUGCGAAGGCAGUCUACUACGUAUGUACUGACGCUCAUGGACGAAAGCGUGGGGAGCGAACAGG